Molecule: ribosomal RNA, 465 nt
Filed under: Vreelandella stevensii
Lineage: Bacteria; Pseudomonadati; Pseudomonadota; Gammaproteobacteria; Oceanospirillales; Halomonadaceae
Description: partial 16S ribosomal RNA
Rfam family: Bacterial small subunit ribosomal RNA
Source: RNAcentral
CCUACGGGGGGCAGCAGUGGGGAAUAUUGGACAAUGGGGGGAACCCUGAUCCAGCCAUGCCGCGUGUGUGAAGAAGGCCCUCGGGUUGUAAAGCACUUUCAGUGAGGAAGAACGCCUGGUGGUUAAUACCCAUCAGGAAAGACAUCACUCACAGAAGAAGCACCGGCUAACUCCGUGCCAGCAGCCGCGGUAAUACGGAGGGUGCGAGCGUUAAUCGGAAUUACUGGGCGUAAAGCGCGCGUAGGUGGCUUGAUAAGCCGGUUGUGAAAGCCCCGGGCGCAACCUGGGAACGGCAUCCGGAACUGUCAAGCUAGAGUGCAGGCGAGGAAGGUAGAAUUCCCGGUGUAGUGGUGAAAUGCGUAGAGAUCGGGAGGAAUACCAGUGGCGAAGGCGGCCUUCUGGACUGACACUGACACUGAGGUGCGAAAGCGUGGGUAGCAAACAGGAUUAGAUACCCGAGUAGUC